UAACUCAUGGUGAUGAGUAGUCUUGUACCGUGGGUUUUGAGGCUAUUUAAGGGAUCAGCUCACAUGAGGUGAGAGGCCUUACUGGCGGCCGAUGUUGAUAGGUUGCAGGCAAACGGUUAGAGUGAUGUUGUUAGGGAUACUCGUAGCGGAGUGUUUUAUGAGUAACGUUGGGUCAUAGUAAGUGUGUCUCACUCGAGGCCGUUAUCCCCUUGAGGGAUGGGGUAUUUAUAGGUAUUCCUGAUUCCUAAGUCCUUCUUGGAAAAAG
Molecule: long non-coding RNA, 265 nt
Filed under: Lathyrus oleraceus (garden pea)
Lineage: Eukaryota; Viridiplantae; Streptophyta; Magnoliopsida; Fabales; Fabaceae
Description: Pisum sativum (pea) long non-coding RNA (PSAT_LNC017371)
Source: RNAcentral